UGUUAUGUGUGUUGUUUGAUUAC
RNAcentral lists this small nuclear RNA (23 nucleotides) under Arabidopsis thaliana (thale cress). RNAcentral describes it as "snRNA_12734". The record is from RNAcentral. Lineage: Eukaryota; Viridiplantae; Streptophyta; Magnoliopsida; Brassicales; Brassicaceae.